GACGAACGCUGGCGGCGUGCUUAACAUAUGCAAGUCGAACGGGAAGGCCCUGCUUUUGUGGGGUGCUCGAGUGGCGAACGGGUGAGUAACACGUGAGUAACCUGCCCUUGACUUUGGGAUAACUUCAGGAAACUGGGGCUAAUACCGGAUAGGAGCUCCUGCUGCAUGGUGGGGGUUGGAAAGUUUCGGCGGUUGGGGAUGGACUCGCGGCUUAUCAGCUUGUUGGUGGGGUAGUGGCUUACCAAGGCUUUGACGGGUAGCCGGCCUGAGAGGGUGACCGGUCACAUUGGGACUGAGAUACGGCCCAGACUCCUACGGGAGGCAGCAGUGGGGAAUAUUGCACAAUGGGCGGAAGCCUGAUGCAGCAACGCCGCGUGCGGGAUGACGGCCUUCGGGUUGUAAACCGCUUUCGCCUGUGACGAAGCGUGAGUGACGGUAAUGGGUAAAGAAGCACCGGCUAACUACGUG
Molecule: ribosomal RNA, 468 nt
Filed under: uncultured bacterium
Lineage: Bacteria
Description: partial 16S ribosomal RNA
Rfam family: Bacterial small subunit ribosomal RNA
Source: RNAcentral